RNAcentral lists this unclassified non-coding RNA (253 nucleotides) under Candidatus Kaiserbacteria bacterium. RNAcentral's name for it is "contains 16S-23S intergenic spacer region". It matches the Rfam family "Bacterial small subunit ribosomal RNA", at positions 524 to 776 of the family's 1533-position model. The record is from RNAcentral. Lineage: Bacteria; Candidatus Kaiseribacteriota.
UACAGAGGCCUCAAGCGUUACCCGGAAUCACUGGGCGUAAAGCGUGUCUAGGUGGUUUAGUUAGUCUUCUGUUAAAGCCUUGGGCUCAACCCAAGGAGUGCGGAGGAAACGGCUAGACUAGAGAGUGCGAGAGGUGUACGGAACUCUAGGUGUAGGGGUGAAAUCCGUUGAUAUCUAGGGGAACACCAAAGGCGAAGGCAGUACACUGGCGCACUUCUGACACUCACACACGAAAGCGUGGGUAGCGAAUGGG